Molecule: RNA transcript, 1852 nt
Organism: Apis dorsata (giant honeybee)
Lineage: Eukaryota; Metazoa; Arthropoda; Insecta; Hymenoptera; Apidae
Exons: 4
Source: RefSeq, a predicted model, not a curated record
AGAAGAGAAAAUACAAAAUCAUAUAAAGUAACGGAUCUAUUCUGUAUCUUGUCUGUGCUUAUGUAUUUCUAAUAUAUCUUAUAUAAAAUAAUAAUAAUGGUUAUGUAUGAUCAAUCAGAAGAAAGAUGGCGUGUAUAUAAAAUUCUAUAGUUGGGUCUGUAUUAAAUAAAUUAGAUUCUGGAAGGUUAUGUUCAUUAAAACUUCAAAAUAAUACACAGUAUUCAUAACACAUGUUAAAACAAUUAGUUGAAAAAUUAAGAGUUAUAUAAAACAUUAAUUUAAAAGAUAAAAGAAUAAUGGAAAACUACAUAACUCGUUCAGCUUUUAGUUUUGGCAUUUUUGCUUUUUUUCUUUAUUUUAUAAAAGUGUCAAAUGUAUUAAGCGUAUCAACAACACAAAGUAUUAUAGAUGUAAUAAAAAAUGACAGUGAAUUAUGUAAAAUGCCGACAAUUUUAUAUGAAAAUAAUAUUACAGCGGAUUGUUAUAAUGUAACAUAUCCUGAAGGAGAACAUGUAAUUGCGCAAUAUGAUAUGACAUAUAAGAACGUACGAAAUUUUUUAUGUUUAAUAUUUUAUGAUACAUUGUAUAAAGUUUGUCAAGCUAAAUUGCAAAAUCAAUUGAAUCAUACUACUUUCUAUUCAAAUAUUCAACGAUAUUUCCCUGAAGAGAAUGAAAAUGAUCAGAAAAAUUUUUGUAAAAAUAUUAAAGAUAUUAAAUUUGCAUAUAAAAAAUUGGAUCCAUUAUUAUCACAUGUACAUUUUAAUAAUUCUAUUGUAUGUUAUGCCGCAUGUUUUAAUUUGUCAGGAAAAUUUAUUCCACUUUGUGCAAUAUUAUCAUGGAGCAAAAGUAUUGAUGAAAUAAAAGAAGAUUUUGGAAAAAAAUCUGAAAAUAAAAUUGAUAAAAAACUUGUUAUAGGUAUAAAACAGAAUUUUACAGUAUUAAAUGAAACUUCUAAUGAAACAAAAGGAGAUAUUGAUAAUAAAUAUAAAACAACAUCUAAUAUGAGAAAUAUUGGGUUAGAACAAGAAUCCCAAACUGAAUUUGUUGAAUUUACGGCAACAACAUCUGAUUUUGAAAAAAUAAAAGAAUUAAGUGCUACAGGUCAUAUUUUUGAAAAUUCAGAACCAACGCUACAUAAAAAACCUGAUAAUGAAGAUAAUAAUGAUGCAAAAUCUAAGAAUGAUAAAAAUGAUAAAGAUAUAAAUUCAAAAACAUUAUCUGAAAAUGAUGAAGAUUUAAAAAAAAAUGAAAACAAUAGAAUAAAUACUAUAAGUAAUGAAGCUGAAAAAAAUAUGAAUAGUAUAAAUGAUGAUUAUAAAACAAGUACAAUAUCAGAUAAUACUGAAGAUCAUGAAAAUUUUGCUAGCAUCAAGCAAAAUGGAAAAUUAUCUGAUGAUAUAUAUUUAUAUUUAAUGUAUUUUUAUGUCAGCAGAUCAAGAUCAAGGUAUACCUGAACCAUCUGAGCAAAGAGAUAUCUCAAUACCUCAAUAUCAUCCUAUAAGAACAGAUGAAGAAUCUCAUUUUCUUACUUACUUAACUGCACUUUCUUUAAUCUUUGUAGUUGCAUAUUUUGUUUAUCAGCAUAAACAGAAAAUAAUAGCUAUUAUAGUAGAAGGACGAAGAUCACGAAAUAAUCGCGCUAGACGACGACCAAGCACUGCUAAUUACCGUAAAUUGGAUUGUACAUUAGAAGAAGCAGUUACAUCACAAUGUAAUGCAAAUGUUACCCAUGUUAUAUACUAAUGCAUGUAUCAAAUAUUUUAAAGCUAUUGUAUAAUAGCACGCGUGUAACAUAUUAUUUUGUAUUCAUGUAUACUUCCAUUAUAAUAUGAAUUUAUUUUUAACAAAUUAA